GGGGGGUUUGUUAAGCACAUGCAGGAGAACGAAUUCCUUCAUGAUGUCUUCGGGUUCACUCCGAAGAAAAAGUUUCUCUUGGACAGCGAACAUCGAAUAUCAACCACAGAAAAAAGGAUGUUCAAGUCACCAAAUUCAAUUGCCAAUAAGGCAAGGACUCAGCACUUGAACAAGCAGCGAAUGUUAGCUGAGGGGAGAAACAUUGGACACUAUGCUGUAAACGUGGGGGAGUGAGUGAUGUAGAAUUUACUUAAUUGU
RNAcentral lists this unclassified non-coding RNA (258 nucleotides) under Hevea brasiliensis (rubber tree). The record is from RNAcentral. Lineage: Eukaryota; Viridiplantae; Streptophyta; Magnoliopsida; Malpighiales; Euphorbiaceae.